AGUAUUUUGAAUUUUCCAUUAAUUGUCCAUGUUUUUAAAGUAUGAGACUUUUUUUAAAAAAAAAUCUGAAUUUCUGAAUUAUUUUGGAAAACUAAAGUGCCUUGUCAUGCUGACCCCUACUCUGUCAUGGCAGUCAGUACCCACAUCUGUGCAACUAUGCUGACUCUGUAGCCCUGAAGGCCUCAGUGUCUCUAAACUUCAGCUCAAUAACCCAUGUGCUUUCUUAUAUCAAAAGCCAUGAUAACUCUUCAACUGAAAACUACGUGGAGUUUAUCCUGGAUUGGGUGUGCAUUUCUUUCUAUAUAAAGUGUGUUGUGGAAAGUUCCAAUUAUAAUAUCUUAGGAAUUUCUGAUGCUUCUUCAAUGGCUACCCUCUCUUAUUCUUUUUAAGAGACAAACUUUAGGAGAUGCUGAGAAAUUCUUCUAUCUAGAUAUUAAAAUUUGACAGGUCUGAGCCCAUGCUGGACCAACCGUCCCCUGGCCAACACCUGAUUCAGGAGGGACAGGUUGCACAGGCUGCCCAAGUGGUGUAAGGCAGUUUUGGGUGCCUCUGGGAAAGUCUCCCUUACCAUUAGACAGAGACCAGAGAAAUGGUCAUCCUAACCUCUGAGCAAUCUUCUGGCUGCUGGCUCAGAAAUAUAGAAUAUAAAGAUGGAAGGAGCCUGGGUCCCCAAAGUUCCUAGAACUACAGAAUUCGUUAAUCCUGGAAUCAUACCAGCUACAACUUUUUUUUAUAAAAUUAUCAUCAUUUUUACUUGUUUGAACAACUUGUGUUUUGGUCAUUCCUUCCAGCCAAAAGCAUUUUCUUUUGAUCAAACUUCUGAUUCCCCAAAAUUCUACUUUGUGGGAUGAGAACUGACCCAGAGACCUCUGAAGUCUUUCCCAGGACCUCACAGAUGGGGUCUGUAUGCAGAAUCGAAUUUCUGAACCAUAGUCCUAGGGGCCAAGCUUCCUUUCCACAAUCCCCCUCUCCUUUUUGGAAAAGAGAUGAAAGACAAAACUCUUCCAGGUGGGUUGCCUCCAGUAGUAGAGAAGAUCUCCCUGGCCAGGUGUGGACUGAGUGGAGGAAGGAGGUGGCUGCUGACACCCGCAGAAAUUCCAGAUGAUGGCUCAGAACAUCUGAAAACAAUAGUUUUAGGAAGACAGGCUUUUUGUCUGCCUGUUCAUGCUCCAACAGCCUGUACCACACCCAGAGGUACAGCGACAAAGCAAGGAGCAGAAGAUAGCAUAAACAGGUCAUGAGCAGAUGUGCCUGAACUAGCCAGAGACCAUUCGUUUACACCCACAUACCUGUUACCAUCUCCUUCUUUUUCCCAUGGGAAUGAAGUGAGUGGCAAAAAGUGGGGUGAAACACUCGGUCACUUCAGGUUCUAACUUGCAGACACUGUUCCUGACUUACCUGAGGGGCAGGCUGCAUCCUUUGCCUUUUUGGGACAAAAUGUGAUGCUGUUAGACAAGGCAGUUCCACAUGGUUUCUUUUAAAAGGCAAAGCCAGAAGACACAGGGGCUGCCAGCAUUUCACCUGAGUAAUUCAACACGUGUGCACUGUUUCUGCUUUCUUUCUUUCUUUCUUUUAUUUAUUUAUUUAUUUAUUUAUUUAUAUGUGGUAUUGAGGAUCGAACCCAGGGCCUCACAUGUGCUAGGAGAGCGUACUACCACUGAGCCACAACCC
RNAcentral lists this long non-coding RNA (1671 nucleotides) under Marmota monax (woodchuck). Lineage: Eukaryota; Metazoa; Chordata; Mammalia; Rodentia; Sciuridae. The record is from RNAcentral.